This 88-nucleotide non-coding RNA is filed under the name unclassified sequences. RNAcentral's name for it is "freshwater-2 RNA". It matches the Rfam family "freshwater-2 RNA". From Rfam's summary of the family: Aquatic, esp. fresh water. No recognized genes The record is from RNAcentral.
UUUUACAUAAAGUAAAAGACUUAUAGCGGAUAACCACCGCGUAGCCAGGAGAACUGGCAUUGGACUCCUAUAAAGGAGAAAACAAAUG